AAAGCGAAAUCCACCAUCUCAUCGAAAGACGGGACACCUUUGCCUCUAUCAGUGUGUGAAGUAUUUUUGUUCUGGAUAACACAAAUAGAUUAUUGAAUAGUUUGCACUAGAAAUCACCUGACAAAUAUGCAUAUAUGCAAUAUUUUUGGUCAUAUCCAAGGUAGUCAUGUCCUCAUCAUCCUCCCCUUCUUGAAAAUAAAGCCGUCCUCGGCGUUGCUUAAUCUGAAAUGUGGCUAACAAAAGAGACAAGGUGUACAUGUUGUAUAUGUAUAUGUCAUCCAUUUUUACUUCCCUUGAUUUUUGCAUAUAUGACACAUGAAUAGAUGAGUAACUUGCAUAGUUCAUAAAAUCUAAAGCCAAAAAAUUAGCACAAGAAGUAGAAGGCAUGAAAAUAUUGCAACUCAGUUUGCACAUAUAAGUGAAGCUCUUAUUCAUUUCAAAAGAUUGACAAUGUUCAUCAUUAAACCAUCCCAACAUUGGUGAAUAAACCUUACUUGCAUCAAAUUUACAUGCUACAACAUGCUUAAAUAAGCAAACAUGCAAUAAGUCAUUCAACACAGAAUCAUCACCAAGAUCAGAGGUCAUAUCAAAAUGAUUAAACAUUGGUUCUUUUGCAUCAAUAGUUAAUUCAAUGGGUGCACUCAAAAUUGUUGGUAUUUCAGUUGUUUGAUCACAUGGCAAAGUCAAAUUAUCAACGUAGUCCUCUAAAAUAGGUGGUGUGAUCAAAGUAGUGGGUAGCUCAUCAGAUGGUGCAUUCAAAUUGACAAGGCAUUCAUCAUUCUCAUGUAGAGAUGGAAGAUCAGUACCUUUGUCAUUACCUCUUAUGAUCAACUCAGAUGAUGUAGCCACUCUCGGGGGCGAUGUGUCACAUGAUGGAGGUGAUGUAGUCCUGACAACAACGGAUGUGGUUGUCAUAGUAUGCCCAGUAGUUGAAGGAACAAUCAUAUCAACUCUUGGAAUGUGCACCGUGCGCUUAUUCUCCUCGUGGCCAACACGUCGUUUUAUUUCCUGUUCAGCUUUGCAAGCAAGAUGAAACAAAUGGUCCAUAGGAUAACACUCUUCAUGAAUUAGUAUCUCUUGAAUAUCACGGUUUAAUCCUCCCCAAAAUCUAUCCAUAAAAUCAUCUUCACUUUCUUCUAAAACGGAAUGCAACAAGGUAGUUUGUAAAUCAUCAUAAUAUUUUGUUACAGUUUCACUACCUUGUUUUAAGUGUUGCAACUUCUUAAUCAUGUCACGAGUAUAAUAAGCAGGGACGAAAGUAUGUCGCAUGGCAAGUUUCAAAUCAUCCCAAGUAGUAGGUAUAUAAUCAGGGUGUAACCGACAAUAUUCACUCCACCAAACCAAAGCAUAACCAGUGAAAGAACCAACCGCAACCUUAACCUUUUUAUGUUCAUCGAAAUUAUGGAAAGAAAAUAUAUUUUUUAUGUCGAACUCCCAUUCAAUAUAUAAAGCAGGUUUAAAACGGCCAUUAAAUGGUGGUAUAGAUACAUUAACCUGAUCAUGUGCAUUUGGAUGUUUGUGCACCUCUCGUGACGGUUGUGGUAUUUGCAAAGGUGGUGGCACGUCUCCCGCGAUCGACAAAGCCCAUGAAUUGACUCUGGAUCCUGUCAUGAUUAGUAGAACAAGAAACAAAACCCAAAAAUAAUGUUCCUAUAACUACUAGGAUGUGGUGGUAAAACGCUCACAGUAAAGCAAAUAUCAAUGUCUUACAAGUUCUUACCAUGCAGCAGGCGGUGAUCGGCAACCAGCGGUGUCAAGUAACUCUGAAUAUUGAGUAAAGCGAUUGCCAGUGGAGUGUACGUAUACACGGUGUAGAAAUAUGUGGAGCUGGGUUGGCUAUAUAUGGUAGCAAAAGAUUAGCAAUAAUCAAUUCAAAGAUGCAAUGUUGAAUAAACGUUCAACGACGGUACUGUGCUGGUCCUAGGUGAUGAGGACAUGACUACCUUGGAUAUGACCAAAAAUAUUGCAUAUAUGCAUAUUUGUCAGGUGAUUUCUAGUGCAAACUAUUCAAUAAUCUAUUUAUGUUAUCCAGAACAAAAAUACUUCACACACUUUUGUGUUUUGUCUAAUUGCAGGUGUAUGGGACAUUUGUACAAUCCACAUAUGAAGAUAAGGAAGAAAGAGCUGUUUAUUUGCUGUCCAAAAAGUUCUCUCACGUCACUUUUGGCCCAAGAGAAAAUAGAGUCCAAGUCUUUCACGUUCUGGAUUCAGAUUCAGACUGCACAGACACACCUGACUCAAAACGCACACAAGUUUUUCAUACGGACUCCGAAUUGGGUGAUUCUUUUUUUGUUGGAAACUAGAUUUCGUGCACUUUCCAACCCAAUUGGAUUCACCUUCAAAUUCGUCCGGAGCGUUGAGUUGUGGACGAAACAAUCUGAUGCUGCAGCAGAAUCCGAGUCAAACUACAAGUCCAAAGGUGUUACAUCACCUCCACUUGGGCCCAUUGGCCUUGUACGACCUAGAUUUAGUUUUAGGCUGCCUUGGGACGUCGUCCCACCUCCUUGGCCGCCACCCCUUGCUCCUAUAUAAGUAGAUCCAUCUAGUAGCUUUUCCUUGGGAUUUGUUUAGUUAAAAGUUAGCCAUUGCAACUUCGUGUGCUUCGUUUGGGUCCAACGACCAGACCAAGACCACUUUUCGGAUCCCCACCAUUAUCAAUACUUCAUACAUAUUCGCGAUAUUCAGAUUGCUUUUAUCAUAUUCUUGCUUGUUCUUCGAUUGCUUGCAGGAAUAGACCUUCGUGGUCAGGUUGAUCGUGUUCCGGCGUGGUCAAUAACCUCUUGGAGUUGGUUUAGCGAUUACUAAGGCACAACGUCGUUGCACGUUUGUAGUCGGAUCGUCAAAGUCGUCUCCACCAAAUCGAUAGUUAUCAUCUCAUCGAAAGAUCGGGACACCCCGCCUCUAUCAAGUGGUAUCAGUUUUCAGGUUGCUCAGUGAGAUUUUACAGUUUUUCAUAGUUUAGAUCGCAUCUGUCAUUCAUACCUAUAGUCCAUGAAAAAGCCACAAAAAAAGUUAGAUCUGUUCAUCCUUUAUCCAAGCCAGUCUGAGCCUUUGCAAUUUUCUAUUCAUUGCUUGCAUAGUUGAAUUAUCGGUUGCAUCGUCGUGUCAGUUGCUGGUCUUAGUGUCUAGUUACUUUAGAGUUUCGAGUUCUGUCCACAUUAGUCACGCCGCCGCUGCAUCAUUAUCCCUUCCGCCGUCCACCAUCCCAUCUAUUAAUUUCCACCACGUGCUACGCACUGUUCAUUGUCAUAAUCAUAGUUGAGGUCAUUCACAUCUUCGCCUGAUCCAAUCUGCAUCUUAUCUAGUUUGUCUUGGAAAGAGGGAGAAAAAAAAGAGAGAGAAAAAAA
Molecule: long non-coding RNA, 3347 nt
Filed under: Triticum aestivum (bread wheat)
Lineage: Eukaryota; Viridiplantae; Streptophyta; Magnoliopsida; Poales; Poaceae
Description: long non-coding RNA (TAES_LNC022434)
Source: RNAcentral